This 21-nucleotide non-coding RNA is filed under the name Caenorhabditis elegans. Lineage: Eukaryota; Metazoa; Nematoda; Chromadorea; Rhabditida; Rhabditidae. The record is from RNAcentral.
UAUAGAUAACAUUUCUUUCCA